UACGUAGGGUGCGAGCGUUGUCCGGAAUUACUGGGCGUAAAGAGCUCGUAGGUGGUUUGUCGCGUUGUUCGUGAAAACUCACAGCUUAACUGUGGGCGUGCGGGCGAUACGGGCAGACUGGAGUACUGCAGGGGAGACUGGAAUUCCUGGUGUAGCGGUGGAAUGCGCAGAUAUCAGGAGGAACACCGGUGGCGAAGGCGGGUCUCGGGGCAGUAAAUGACGUUGAGGAGCGAAAGCGUGGGGAGCGAACAGG
RNAcentral lists this ribosomal RNA (253 nucleotides) under uncultured bacterium. Its description in RNAcentral is "partial 16S ribosomal RNA". It matches the Rfam family "Bacterial small subunit ribosomal RNA", at positions 524 to 776 of the family's 1533-position model. The record is from RNAcentral.